This 497-nucleotide ribosomal RNA is filed under the name uncultured bacterium. Its description in RNAcentral is "partial 16S ribosomal RNA". It matches the Rfam family "Bacterial small subunit ribosomal RNA", at positions 28 to 507 of the family's 1533-position model. The record is from RNAcentral.
GACGAACGCUGGCGGCGUGCCUAAUACAUGCAAGUUGAGCGCUGAAGGUUGGUCCUUGUACCAACUGGAUGAGCAGCAAACGGGUGAGUAACGCGUGGGGAAUCUGCCUUUGAGCGGGGGACAACAUUUGGAAACGAAUGCUAAUACCGCAUAAAAACUUUAAACACAAGUUUUAAGUUUGAAAGAUGCAAUUGCAUCACUCAAAGAUGAUCCCGCGUUGUAUUAGCUAGUUGGUGAGGUAAAGGCUCACCAAGGCGAUGAUACAUAGCCGACCUGAGAGGGUGAUCGGCCACAUUGGGACUGAGACACGGCCCAAACUCCUACGGGAGGCAGCAGUAGGGAAUCUUCGGCAAUGGACGAAAGUCUGACCGAGCAACGCCGCGUGAGUGAAGAAGGUUUUCGGAUCGUAAAACUCUGUUGGUAGAGAAGAACGUUGGUGAGAGUGGAAAGCUCAUCAAGUGACGGUAACUACCCAGAAAGGGACGGCUAACUACGUG